Molecule: ribosomal RNA, 395 nt
Filed under: uncultured bacterium
Lineage: Bacteria
Description: partial 16S ribosomal RNA
Rfam family: Bacterial small subunit ribosomal RNA
Source: RNAcentral
AUACGUAGGGUGCAAGCGUUAAUCGGAAUUACUGGGCGUAAAGCGUGCGCAGGCGGUUCGGAAAGAAGGAUGUGAAAUCCCAGGGCUCAACCUUGGAACUGCAUUCUUAACUACCGAACUAGAGUAUGUCAGAGGGGGGUAGAAUUCCGCGUUAAGAAGUGAAAUGCGUAGAUAUGCGGAGGAAUACCGAUGGCGAAGGCAGCCCCCUGGGAUAAUACUGACGCUCAUGCACGAAAGCGUGGGUAGCAAACAGGAUUAGAUACCCUGGUAGUCCACGCCCUAAACGAUGUCAACUAGCUGUUGGGCCCUUCGGGGCUUAGUAGCGUAGCUAACGCGUGAAGUUGACCGCCUGGGGAGUACGGUCGCAAGAUUAAAACUCAAAGGAAUUGACGGGG